AGUGAACGCUGGCGGUAGGCCUAACACAUGCAAGUCGAACGGCAGCACAGUAAGAGCUUGCUCUUACGGGUGGCGAGUGGCGGACGGGUGAGGAAUACAUCGGAAUCUACUUUUUCGUGGGGGAUAACGUAGGGAAACUUACGCUAAUACCGCAUACGACCUACGGGUGAAAGCAGGGGAUCUUCUGACCUUGCGCGAUUGAAUGAGCCGAUGUCGGAUUAGCUAGUUGGCGGGGUAAAUGCCCACCAAGGCGACGAUCCGUAGCUGGUCUGAGAGGAUGAUCAGCCACACUGGAACUGGAACACGGUCCAGACUACUACGGGAGGCAGCAGUGGGGAAUAUUGGACAGUGGGCGCAAGCCUGAUCCAGCCAUACCGAGUGGGUGAAGAAGGCCUUCGGGUUGUAAAGCCCUUUUGUUGGGAAAGAAAAGCAGCAGGUUAAUACCCCGCUGUUCUGACGGUACCCAAAGAAUAAGCACCGGCUAACUUCGUG
This 492-nucleotide ribosomal RNA is filed under the name uncultured bacterium. RNAcentral's name for it is "partial 16S ribosomal RNA". It matches the Rfam family "Bacterial small subunit ribosomal RNA", at positions 29 to 507 of the family's 1533-position model. The record is from RNAcentral.